AUUGAACGCUGGCGGCAGGCCUAACACAUGCAAGUCGAACGAGUGGCGGACGGGUGAGUAAUGUCUGGGAAACUGCCUGAGGGAGGGGGAUAACUACUGGAAACGGUAGCUAAUACCGCAUACCAUCGGAUGUGCCCAGAUGGGAUUAGCUAGGAGGAGGGGUAAAGGCUGCCCUAGGCGACGAUCCCUAGGUGGGCUGAGAGGAUGACCAGCCCCCCUGGGACUUGAGCACGGUCCAGCCUCCUACGGGAGGCAGCAGUGGGGAAUAUUUGACAAUGGGCGCAAGCCUGAUGCAGCCAUGCCGCGUGUAUGAAGAAGGCCGUCGGGUUUUAAAGUCCUUUCAGCGGGGAGGCGUUACCCGCAGCAGUAGCACCGGCUAACGCCGUGCCAGCAGCCGCGGUAAUUC
Molecule: ribosomal RNA, 406 nt
Filed under: uncultured bacterium
Lineage: Bacteria
Description: partial 16S ribosomal RNA
Rfam family: Bacterial small subunit ribosomal RNA
Source: RNAcentral